UUAGUGGAAGCCAAACAGGCAAGUUACUGUUAAUAACUAAUUGGGUUUUAAACCGCCCCUGCUAAG
This 66-nucleotide transfer RNA is filed under the name Tropostreptus austerus. RNAcentral's name for it is "tRNA-Asn". The record is from RNAcentral. Lineage: Eukaryota; Metazoa; Arthropoda; Diplopoda; Spirostreptida; Spirostreptidae.